UACUAAAUAAUAAAUGCAAACAAUGUUUUCUCUUCCACGCUAUGCACUUGGCGGCGCAUGCAUUAC
This 66-nucleotide small RNA is filed under the name Extubocellulus spinifer. RNAcentral describes it as "partial transfer-messenger RNA". The record is from RNAcentral. Lineage: Eukaryota; Bacillariophyta; Thalassiosirophyceae; Cymatosirales; Cymatosiraceae.